Molecule: small RNA, 678 nt
Filed under: Pongo abelii (Sumatran orangutan)
Lineage: Eukaryota; Metazoa; Chordata; Mammalia; Primates; Hominidae
Description: retained intron
Source: RNAcentral
AGUGGGAUCCUUGAAAGAACAGCAUCUUCGGGAUUCAGCUGAUUUAAAAACUCUUCUCAGUAAGGCAGAAAACCAAGCAAAGGAUGUGCAGAAAGAGUAUGAAAAGACACAGACUGUACUCUCAGAACUGAAGUUGAAGUUUGAAAUGACUGAGCAGGAAAAGCAGUCAAUCACAGAUGAGCUCAAACAGUGUAAAAACAACCUGAAGCUGCUCCGAGAGAAAGGAAAUAAUCCUUCCAUAUUACAACCCGUCCCAGCCGUAUUCAUCGGCCUAUUCCUGGCUUUCCUGUUUUGGUGUUUCGGUCCAUUGUGGUAGAGAAAGGUACAAGCACUAUUGUUGAGUCCUUGUCUGUUUGUCCCCGUCACCUUUUUGUGCCAUAUUUGUAAUAUAGUGCAUGGCAAGAACACACAGGUAUUUUGUUACCUGAAGCAAACCCUUCAUUUAGUAUGCCGUGUAUUUGUGUUAUACCAGUGAACUGAACAGUCAACUAAUCCCAUAACUUUUUGUCUUGUUUACUUUGUAGUAAUGCUAACCAUGAGUUAAUUCCAACCUAACCAGUUGUUAAUAUGCUUCCAAUAACUGAGUCUUUAUCUCUAGCAAACUGGAGUGCACUAUGAAUUUCUGCAAUAUUAGUACCCUCUUUCCAGUUAUGUGUUUAAUCAGAUUUGAAUGAGAAA